CAGCCGCCGCGGUAAUACGAAGGGGGCUAGCGUUGCUCGGAAUUACUGGGCGUAAAGGGAGCGUAGGCGGACAUUUAAGUCAGGGGUGAAAUCCCAGAGCUCAACUCUGGAACUGCCUUUGAUACUGGGUGUCUUGAGUGUGAUAGAGGUAUGUGGAACUCCGAGUGUAGAGGUGAAAUUCGUAGAUAUUCGGGAGAACACCAGUGGCGAAGGCGACAUACUGGAUCAUUACUGACGCUGAGGCUCGAAAGCGUGGGGAGCAAACAGGAUUAGAUACCCCAGUAGUCCCUGUCUCUUAUAC
Molecule: ribosomal RNA, 301 nt
Filed under: uncultured bacterium
Lineage: Bacteria
Description: partial 16S ribosomal RNA
Rfam family: Bacterial small subunit ribosomal RNA
Source: RNAcentral